CUACGGGUUGCUGCAGUGAGGAAUAUUGCACAAUGGGGGGAACCCUGAUGCAGCAACGCCGCGUGGAGGAUGACGCAUUUCGGUGUGUAAACUCCUUUUAUAUGUCAAGAAAAUGACGGUAGCAUAUGAAUAAGCGCCGGCUAACUCCGUGCCAGCAGCCGCGGUAAUACGGAGGGCGCAAGCGUUACUCGGAAUCACUGGGCGUAAAGGACGCGUAGGCGGGUUGAAAAGUCAGGUGUGAAAGCCUACAGCUUAACUGUAGAACUGCACUUGAGACUCUCAAUCUAGAGUAUGGGAGGGGCAGAUGGAAUUAGUGGUGUAGGGGUAAGAUCCGUAGAUAUCACUAGGAAUACCUAAAGCGAAGGCGAUCUGCUGGAACAUUACUGACGCUAAGGCGUGAAAGCGUGGGGAGCAAACAGGAUUAGAUACCCGCGUAGUC
Molecule: ribosomal RNA, 439 nt
Filed under: uncultured bacterium
Lineage: Bacteria
Description: partial 16S ribosomal RNA
Rfam family: Bacterial small subunit ribosomal RNA
Source: RNAcentral